AGGUGGACCUUGAGACAACAAGCCAGGGUUUGAUCGGAUAAUAUCUCCCGAUUCCAUCCGAAUUGCCAUUUUGUGAAAUCAAAAUAGAAGUUUCUGGAAAUACACGGAUGCACUAUUGAUGUACUUCGGCCAACACCCAUAAUUUGAUGGUCUGUUGAGUUUCUACAGGAAUACACUCUCAGUGAAUUCAUGUUCUGUCUGUAUUUCCUUUGGUGAACCCAUUCUUUGAUUUGCACCCCUGAUGAAGUCCUAAGGGACGAAACGCGUUGGGUUUCAACGAUUGUGCGUUUCCGUAAAAACAGUGAACAGAUCAUACAUACUUUCUCAUGCUGAGGAAUAAGUAUUCCAUCUAAUGAUUGAAAACAUCAUAUAUAACAGAUAAUCAGAAAUGAAUGUAUUGCUCAAGUGACAUGUGUGAUCUUGUGAUUCAUGUUAUAAAAGUAUGUAUGUAACAUGUUUUUUA
Pseudophryne corroboree (corroboree frog) is the source of this 463-nucleotide long non-coding RNA. RefSeq lists it as uncharacterized. The record is from RefSeq and is a predicted model, not a curated record. Lineage: Eukaryota; Metazoa; Chordata; Amphibia; Anura; Myobatrachidae. The transcript is spliced from 5 exons.